Non-coding RNA from Phoenix dactylifera (date palm), 589 nucleotides. NCBI's taxonomy places the organism in Eukaryota, Viridiplantae, Streptophyta, Magnoliopsida, Arecales, Arecaceae. The record is from RefSeq and is a predicted model, not a curated record.
CAAAUUGAAUAUGAAUCAAGCCCAAUUCAAAACCAGUUUAACUAAAUUGAGACCGAAUUGACUUUGGGCUGACCCUGACUCAAGCCUAGAUGAGCCACAUUGAUCCUGGACCAAAAUUAAACUUAAUUGGACUUGAAAUUGAGCCCAAUAACAUAAUCAGAAGACCAAAUUGACCCGAUAGGGCUAGACCCAAUCAGGAACCGAGCCCAAUUCUUUAAUUAAAGACCCAAUUGACCUACGUGAACCCAAUCUGGUUCUAAAUCGAGGCCAAGGGCUCUAAAUUAAAUAAAUUGGACUUGAGAUCCAAGCAAGUAAAUUCAUGUUAUGAUAAAUUAGAAAAUUAUGAAAUAAAUAGAGAAUAAUGUGACCCCUAUGUGAUUUAUUUAGGUGAUCAAGGAUUUGUCACCCGGACGUAAGAAAUUGGAAAGCAUAUUGCUAUGAUUAAGACCACUAGGAGCAGGGAGCUUGAUGUUAUUCAGGGUUGGGGUAAUUGAAAAUGUUAUGUAAUAAUCAGAUUUUAGAAGCUCUGUACUGUUCCAACUUCAUGAACAAUGUUAUGAUAUUAGUAAAUGAAACUAUUUAUUUUCAU